UCAUUAAGUUGGGCACUCUAGAGAGACUGCCAGGGAUAACCUGGAGGAAGGUGGGGAUGACGUCAAAUCAUCAUGCCCCUUAUGCUUAGGGCUACACACGUGCUACAAUGGGUAGUACAGAGGGUUGCCAAGCCGUAAGGUGGAGCUAAUCCCUUAAAGCUACUCUCAGUUCGGAUUGUAGGCUGAAACUCGCCUACAUGAAGCUGGAGUUACUAGUAAUCGCAGAUCAGAAUGCUGCGGUGAAUGCGUUCCCGGGUCUUGUACACACCGCCCGUCACACCACGGGAGUUGGAGACGCCCGAAGCCGACUAUCUAACCUUUUGGAAGAAGUCGUCGAAGGUGGAAUCAAUAACUGGGGUGAAGUCGUAACAAGGUAGCCGUAUCGGAAGGUGCGGCUGGAUCACCUCCUUUCUAAGGAGA
Molecule: ribosomal RNA, 420 nt
Filed under: Clostridioides difficile
Lineage: Bacteria; Bacillati; Bacillota; Clostridia; Peptostreptococcales; Peptostreptococcaceae
Description: bacterial SSU rRNA
Rfam family: Bacterial small subunit ribosomal RNA
Source: RNAcentral